UACGGGGGGGGCAAGCGUUGUUCGGAAUUACUGGGCGUAAAGGGCUCGUAGGCGGCCAACUAAGUCCGACGUGAAAUCCCAAGGCUUAACCUUGGAACUGCGUCGGAUACUGGAUGGCUUGAAUUCGGGAGAGGGAUGCAGAAUUCCAGGUGUAGCGGUGAAAUGCGUAGAUAUCGGGAAGAACACCCGUGGCGAAGGCGGUUCUCUGGGACGGUACUGACGCUGAGGCGCGACAGCGUGGGGAGCAAACAGG
This 253-nucleotide ribosomal RNA is filed under the name uncultured bacterium. RNAcentral's name for it is "partial 16S ribosomal RNA". It matches the Rfam family "Bacterial small subunit ribosomal RNA", at positions 524 to 776 of the family's 1533-position model. The record is from RNAcentral.